Lonchura striata (white-rumped munia) is the source of this 304-nucleotide non-coding RNA. The record is from RefSeq and is a predicted model, not a curated record. Lineage: Eukaryota; Metazoa; Chordata; Aves; Passeriformes; Estrildidae.
CUGUGGCAAAAAGGAAGCUUUCCAGGGUAAUGUUUGAGUAGAAACUUGAUGAAUGUGCCAGGAUGUGUUACACAUCCUGGCUGAUGCUGUCUUUGCACGCAGCCACAGAGACUGAGGAUGGGAGCUGCAGCUCGUGACGUGCCCUGAACCCAUCCUGCACCCAGGUCAUUUCUCAGUCCCAAAGCAAGUUUUAACCCCACUGUGCAUCCUGCCCCUCAGAGCAAGAUGCAGGUUCCUUUGAGAUGCCAUCAUCUGCCAUGCCAUCAUCCUGAAGGGAUCACCCACAUGUCCAGGCUCCCAGCAC